RNAcentral lists this transfer RNA (63 nucleotides) under Cryptomonas curvata. It matches the Rfam family "tRNA", at positions 6 to 65 of the family's 71-position model. From Rfam's summary of the family: Transfer RNA (tRNA) molecules are approximately 80 nucleotides in length. The record is from RNAcentral. Lineage: Eukaryota; Cryptophyceae; Cryptomonadales; Cryptomonadaceae.
UGUUGGUGUAGCGGUCAGCACAACAGACUCUGACUCUGUAGACGUGGGUUCGAUUCCCUCACG